This is a non-coding RNA of Myotis lucifugus (little brown bat), 70 nucleotides long. The record is from Rfam. NCBI's taxonomy places the organism in Eukaryota, Metazoa, Chordata, Mammalia, Chiroptera, Vespertilionidae.
GGCAGUUCUCGGGUGACGCACCCCAGAAUCGGGCUCCCUCCUCUCUGGUUCCUGGGGCGCAUCACCUGCA